This 274-nucleotide ribosomal RNA is filed under the name uncultured bacterium. RNAcentral describes it as "partial 16S ribosomal RNA". It matches the Rfam family "Bacterial small subunit ribosomal RNA", at positions 523 to 796 of the family's 1533-position model. The record is from RNAcentral.
AUACGGAGGGUGCAAGCGUUAAUCGGAAUUACUGGGCGUAAAGCGUACGUAGGCGGUCCGUUAAGUUAGAUGUGAAAGCCCCGGGCUUAACCUGGGAACUGCAUUUAAAACUGGCGAACUGGAGUUGAGUAGAGGGGAGUGGAAUUUCAGGUGUAGCGGUGAAAUGCGUAGAGAUCUGAAGGAACACCAGUGGCGAAGGCGACUCCCUGGACUCGAACUGACGCUGAGGUACGAAAGCGUGGGUAGCAAACGGGAUUAGAAACCCUAGUAGUCC